This 551-nucleotide ribosomal RNA is filed under the name uncultured bacterium. RNAcentral describes it as "bacterial SSU rRNA". It matches the Rfam family "Bacterial small subunit ribosomal RNA", at positions 355 to 896 of the family's 1533-position model. The record is from RNAcentral.
UAGGGAAUCNUNNNNNAUGGACGGAAGUCUGACCGAGCAACGCCGCGUGAGUGAAGAAGGUUUUCGGAUCGUAAAGCUCUGUUGUAAGAGAAGAACGAGUGUGAGAGUGGAAAGUUCACACUGUGACGGUAUCUUACCAGAAAGGGACGGCUAACUACGUGCCAGCAGCCGCGGUAAUACGUAGGUCCCGAGCGUUGUCCGGAUUUAUUGGGCGUAAAGCGAGCGCAGGCGGUUAGAUAAGUCUGAAGUGAAAGGCAGUGGCUCAACCAUUGUAGGCUUUGGAAACUGUUUAACUUGAGUGCAGAAGGGGAGAGUGGAAUUCCAUGUGUAGCGGUGAAAUGCGUAGAUAUAUGGAGGAACACCGGUGGCGAAAGCGGCUCUNUGGUCUGUAACUGACGCUGAGGCUCGAAAGCGUGGGGAGCGAACAGGAUUAGAUACCCUGGUAGUCCACGCCGUAAACGAUGAGUGCUAGGUGUUAGGUCCUUUCCGGGACUUAGUGCCACAGCUAACGCAUUAAGCACUCCGCCUGGGGGAGUACGANCGCNAGGUUG